UACGUAGGGCGCAAGCGUUGUCCGGAAUUAUUGGGCGUAAAGAGCUCGUAGGCGGCUUGUCACGUCGGGUGUGAAAGCCCGGGGCUUAACCCCGGGUCUGCAUUCGAUACGGGCAGGCUAGAGUGUGGUAGGGGAGAUCGGAAUUCCUGGUGUAGCGGUGAAAUGCGCAGAUAUCAGGAGGAACACCGGUGGCGAAGGCGGACCUCUGGGCCAUUACUGACGCUGAGGAGCGAAAGCGUGGGGAGCGAACAGG
Molecule: ribosomal RNA, 253 nt
Filed under: uncultured bacterium
Lineage: Bacteria
Description: partial 16S ribosomal RNA
Rfam family: Bacterial small subunit ribosomal RNA
Source: RNAcentral